AACAAUGCCCAUGAUAAUAUGUCAAGAAUUACUCUUUUACCUAUUUCUAGUUUUUGUAGAAGUAAAACAUCCUACAACUUAAUUCGAAGCCGAUUAUCUCUGCUUAAAAUACAUUAUGCUAUGAAUCUUGGUUGAACCCAGUAAAAGAAGAUUUACAAUGUCCAAAAACAAGUUGUAACAAAUAAAUAUAUAUUUCCACUGCAUUGCUCCGAAUUCGAAGAAAUAUCGGCUGAUAAAAAUCUGACACAAAGUUAUUAUUAUUAUAUAUUGGUACAUAGCCUUGACUUUCGUCAUUGUCCAACUUUAUAGUGGUUCAUUAUUAUCAUUACACUCAAAAGAAACAAAGUUGCUCAUCAAAGUUAUAAUUCAGGCUCCUGAACUCGAGAUUGGCGAAGUUUCCCUUUUCUUUCAUAGGUGGAGAUGACAGCGUAUAAUUUGAUGCGAGCGCUAUAGGAAAAGAUGCGGAAACCAACUGAAGUAUUGUCAAUAUUCUUUAAAUCAAAGAAGGCUGGUCGUUCAGAAGUCAAUAGUUUUUGGGCCCACCAGUUUUUCUAAACAUUUUGAAAAUACAUACUUGUGUCAUUCACAAAUAGACUUUAGAACUAGAUCAAUUGAAAUAAUGUUUUAGAUGAAUUGUAAUCAUUUAGCUCAUAAAUUGGAAAAAAAUUUACACGAAAUUAUUUCCUUUUCAACUUCCAGUGCAAUAACAAUGGAGAUAUUUACGUUUAAAAUGACGAUGAUAAUGCAGAACUGAAUUUCAUUAGGUUCUUCAAAAAUGUCGAAUGAUUGACCUGUGAAUGACCCUGUAUAUGAUUAUGUUGAAUGUAUGAAAACAAUUAUUGAAGAAUGGAAUUUGUAGUUA
Harmonia axyridis is the source of this 862-nucleotide long non-coding RNA. RefSeq lists it as uncharacterized. The transcript is spliced from 2 exons. The record is from RefSeq and is a predicted model, not a curated record. NCBI's taxonomy places the organism in Eukaryota, Metazoa, Arthropoda, Insecta, Coleoptera, Coccinellidae.